This 993-nucleotide ribosomal RNA is filed under the name Triticum aestivum (bread wheat). RNAcentral describes it as "partial small subunit ribosomal RNA". The record is from RNAcentral. Lineage: Eukaryota; Viridiplantae; Streptophyta; Magnoliopsida; Poales; Poaceae.
AUGAGCUCUCGGAUGGCCGGAGCCACGCUGCUGCGCCACCUGGGCCCCCGCCUCUUUGCCGCCGCCGAGCCGGCCUCCGGGCUCGCCGCCAGCGCGAGGGGCAUCAUGCCCGCCGCCGCGAGGAUCUUCCCCGCGCGGAUGGCCAGCACCGAGGCCGCCGCCCCGCAUGCCAAACAAGAAGAUGAUGCCGGAACACCCCAGGCGGCCGCGACUCCAGAGCAGCAGAGCAAGAAGGCCGUGGUGAGCUACUGGGGCAUCGAGCCGCGGAAGCUCGUCAAGGAGGACGGCACGGAGUGGCCGUGGUUCUGCUUCAGGCCGUGGGACACGUACCGGCCGGACACGUCCAUCGACGUCACCAAGCACCACGAGCCCAAGGCCCUGGCGGACAAGGUGGCCUACUUCGUGGUUCGGUCGCUGCGUGUGCCGCGGGACCUCUUCUUCCAGCGCCGGCACGCCAGCCACGCGCUGCUGCUGGAGACUGUGGCGGCGGUGCCGCCCAUGGUGGGCGGCGUGCUGCUCCACCUGCGCUCGCUCCGCCGAUUCGAGCACAGCGGCGGCUGGAUCCGGGCGCUCAUGGAGGAGGCCGAGAACGAGCGCAUGCACCUCAUGACCUUCAUGGAGGUGACGCAGCCGCGCUGGUGGGAGCGCGCGCUCGUGCUCGCCGCGCAGGGCGUCUUCUUCAACGCCUACUUCGUCGGCUACCUCAUCUCCCCCAAGUUCGCGCACCGCUUCGUCGGCUACCUCGAGGAGGAGGCCGUGGAGUCUUACACUGAGUACCUCAAGGACCUCGAAGCCGGCUUGAUCGAGAACACGCCCGCGCCGGCCAUCGCCAUCGACUACUGGCGCCUCCCCGCCGACGCCAGGCUCAAAGACGUCGUCACCGCCGUGCGCGCCGACGAGGCGCAUCACCGCGACGCCAACCACUACGCAUCGGACAUCCAUUACCAGGGAAUGACGCUGAAUCAGACGCCUGCGCCGCUCGGGUACCACUGA